AAUGAUAGAGGAGCGUUUCCGAUCAGUAUCCCGCGCCGAGGUAUCCGCGAUCACCGUUGAGGCUGGGGAGAAAGGCGAGAGACGCCGAAGAUCUGACCGCCGUGCGGGGCGUCAGCAUCUGGUCCGUCCGACCGAAAGGCGGCGGACUGUCACCGGCGCCGUCCGGUGGAGGGCUAUCUGU
RNAcentral lists this non-coding RNA (181 nucleotides) under bovine gut metagenome. RNAcentral describes it as "Lysine riboswitch". It matches the Rfam family "Lysine riboswitch aptamer". Rfam says of the family: Riboswitches are metabolite binding domains within certain messenger RNAs that serve as precision sensors for their corresponding targets. Allosteric rearrangement of mRNA structure is mediated by ligand binding, and this results in modulation of gene expression. This family includes riboswitches that sense lysine in a number of genes involved in lysine metabolism, including lysC. The record is from RNAcentral.